Molecule: ribosomal RNA, 497 nt
Filed under: uncultured bacterium
Lineage: Bacteria
Description: partial 16S ribosomal RNA
Rfam family: Bacterial small subunit ribosomal RNA
Source: RNAcentral
GAUGAACGCUGGCGGCGUGCCUAAUACAUGCAAGUCGAGCGAACAGACGCGGAGCUUGCUCCUCUGACGUUAGCGGCGGACGGGUGAGUAACACGUGGAUAACCUACCUAUAAGACUGGGAUAACUUCGGGAAACCGGAGCUAAUACCGGAUAAUAUAUUGAACCGCAUGGUUCAAUAGUGAAAGACGGUUUUGCUGUCACUUAUAGAUGGAUCCGCGCCGCAUUAGCUAGUUGGUAAGGUAACGGCUUACCAAGGCAACGAUGCGUAGCCGACCUGAGAGGGUGAUCGGCCACACUGGAACUGAGACACGGUCCAGACUCCUACGGGAGGCAGCAGUAGGGAAUCUUCCGCAAUGGGCGAAAGCUUGACGGAGCAACGCCGCGUGAGUGAUGAAGGUCUUCGGAUCGUAAAACUCUGUUAUUAGGGAAGAACAAAUGUGUAAGUAACUAUGCACGUCUUGACGGUACCUAAUCAGAAAGCCACGGCUAACUACGUG